GAUGAACGCUGGCGGCGUGCCUAAUACAUGCAAGUCGAGCGAACAGACGAGGAGCUUGCUCCUCUGACGUUAGCGGCGGACGGGUGAGUAACACGUGGAUAACCUACCUAUAAGACUGGGAUAACUUCGGGAAACCGGAGCUAAUACCGGAUAAUAUAUUGAACCGCAUGGUUCAAUAGUGAAAGACGGUUUUGCUGUCACUUAUAGAUGGAUCCGCGCCGCAUUAGCUAGUUGGUAAGGUAACGGCUUACCAAAGCAACGAUGCGUAGCCGACCUGAGAGGGUGAUCGGCCACACUGGAACUGAGACACGGUCCAGACUCCUACGGGAGGCAGCAGUAGGGAAUCUUCCGCAAUGGGCGAAAGCCUGACGGAGCAACGCCGCGUGAGUGAUGAAGGUCUUCGGAUCGUAAAACUCUGUUAUUAGGGAAGAACAAAUGUGUAAGUAACUAUGCACGUCUUGACGGUACCUAAUCAGAAAGCCACGGCUAACUACGUG
Molecule: ribosomal RNA, 497 nt
Filed under: uncultured bacterium
Lineage: Bacteria
Description: partial 16S ribosomal RNA
Rfam family: Bacterial small subunit ribosomal RNA
Source: RNAcentral